UGGGGAAUAUUGGACAAUGGGCGAAAGCCUGAUCCAGCCAUGCCGCGUGUGUGAAGAAGGUCUUCGGAUUGUAAAGCACUUUAAGUUGGGAGGAAGGGCAGUUACCUAAUACGUAUCUGUUUUGACGUUACCGACAGAAUAAGCACCGGCUAACUCUGUGCCAGCAGCCGCGGUAAUACAGAGGGUGCAAGCGUUAAUCGGAAUUACUGGGCGUAAAGCGCGCGUAGGUGGUUUGUUAAGUUGGAUGUGAAAUCCCCGGGCUCAACCUGGGAACUGCAUUCAAAACUGACAAGCUAGAGUAUGGUAGAGGGUGGUGGAAUUUCCUGUGUAGCGGUGAAAUGCGUAGAUAUAGGAAGGAACACCAGUGGCGAAGGCGACCACCUGGACUGAUACUGACACUGAGGUGCGAAAGCGUGGGGAGCAAACGGGAUUAGAUACCCUUGUAGUCCCUGAGCGGGCUGGCAAGGCGCAU
This 472-nucleotide ribosomal RNA is filed under the name uncultured bacterium. RNAcentral's name for it is "bacterial SSU rRNA". It matches the Rfam family "Bacterial small subunit ribosomal RNA", at positions 355 to 825 of the family's 1533-position model. The record is from RNAcentral.